RNAcentral lists this ribosomal RNA (99 nucleotides) under uncultured bacterium. RNAcentral describes it as "partial 16S ribosomal RNA". It matches the Rfam family "Bacterial small subunit ribosomal RNA", at positions 392 to 508 of the family's 1533-position model. The record is from RNAcentral.
UAACGCCGCGUGGAGGACGACGGCCUUCGGGUUGUAAACUCCUUUUCUGUGGGACGAUGAUGACGGUACCACAGGAAGAAGCCCCGGCUAACUACGUGC